CCUACGGGUGGCAGCAGUGGGGAAUAUUGCACAAUGGGGGAAACCCUGAUGCAGCGACGCCGCGUGAGUGAAGAAGUAAUUCGUUAUGUAAAGCUCUAUCAGCAGGGAAGAAAAUGACGGUACCUGAGUAAGAAGCCCCGGCUAACUACGUGCCAGCAGCCGCGGUAAUACGUUGGGGGCAAGCGUUAUCCGGAUUUACUGGGUGUAAAGGGUGCGUAGGCGGCUUGGCAAGUCAGUAGUGAAAUCCAUGGGCUUAACCCAUGAACUGCUAUUGAAACUGUCGAGCUUGAGUGAAGUAGAGGUAGGCGGAAUUCCCGGUGUAGCGGUGAAAUGCGUAGAGAUCGGGAGGAACACCAGUGGCGAAGGCGGCCUACUGGGCUUUAACUGACGCUGAGGCACGAAAGCGUGGGUAGCAAACAGGAUUAGAUACCCUUGUAGUC
This 440-nucleotide ribosomal RNA is filed under the name uncultured bacterium. RNAcentral describes it as "partial 16S ribosomal RNA". It matches the Rfam family "Bacterial small subunit ribosomal RNA", at positions 338 to 795 of the family's 1533-position model. The record is from RNAcentral.